RNAcentral lists this ribosomal RNA (388 nucleotides) under uncultured bacterium. RNAcentral's name for it is "bacterial SSU rRNA". It matches the Rfam family "Bacterial small subunit ribosomal RNA", at positions 29 to 417 of the family's 1533-position model. The record is from RNAcentral.
AUUGAACGCUGGCGGCAUGCUUUACACAUGCAAGUCGAACGGCAGCACGGGCUUCGGCCUGGUGGCGAGUGGCGAACGGGUGAGUAAUGCAUCGGAACGUACCGUGUAAUGGGGGAUAACGUAGCGAAAGUUACGCUAAUACCGCAUACGCCCUGAGGGGGAAAGUGGGGGACCGCAAGGCCUCACGUUAUACGAGCGGCCGAUGUCGGAUUAGCUAGUUGGUGGGGUAAAGGCCUACCAAGGCGACGAUCCGUAGCGGGUCUGAGAGGAUGAUCCGCCACACUGGGACUGAGACACGGCCCAGACUCCUACGGGAGGCAGCAGUGGGGAAUUUUGGGACAAUGGGGGCAACCCUGAUCCAGCCAUGCCGCGUGAGUGAAGAAGGCCU